This 110-nucleotide non-coding RNA is filed under the name Mycobacterium sp. RNAcentral's name for it is "SAM-IV sequence". It matches the Rfam family "SAM (S-adenosyl methionine) riboswitch aptamer". Rfam says of the family: SAM-IV is a mRNA element that regulates gene expression via direct sensing of S-adenosylmethionine (SAM or AdoMet). SAM-IV riboswitches share conserved nucleotide positions with the previously described SAM-I riboswitches sequence analysis and molecular recognition experiments suggest that SAM-I and SAM-IV riboswitches share similar ligand binding sites, but have different scaffolds. Lineage: Bacteria; Bacillati; Actinomycetota; Actinomycetes; Mycobacteriales; Mycobacteriaceae. RNAcentral also lists the same sequence under 1 other name. The record is from RNAcentral.
CUUCACGAGACGCCGUCGCCAAGCUCCGACUCGACGGCGCGCCAACCCAGCUCGGGGUGGCUCGGAUGACGAAGCGACCGGCACCGGACGGGCGCCGGUACGGGCGCGGC